This is an RNA transcript of Tripterygium wilfordii, 1693 nucleotides long. It is a transcript of the gene named mediator of RNA polymerase II transcription subunit 27, with no coding region annotated. Lineage: Eukaryota; Viridiplantae; Streptophyta; Magnoliopsida; Celastrales; Celastraceae. The record is from RefSeq and is a predicted model, not a curated record. The transcript is spliced from 8 exons.
GAGUCACGGUGCCGUACUCUUCAAUUUUUAGUUUGCCGGCUGUGUAAUUGUUCAUCAUACCUUGAUAGUUCAUUCUCGAAGAAGAAUUUUAAUACAAGAUGAUGAGAUUCAAUUCUCCAUUGCAACAACAACAGCAGCAGAAGCAGGAACCUCAACAGCAGGAGGAAGCUCAGGCAAAACCUAAUCCCGAUCCGCCGCCCCAAUCCAAAACAGAUGCGCCGCCGAAGCAGGUGGCGAUGGCAUUGGACAGGCUGGGUCAGGCUGGCCGCCUCAUCGCCGACGUGAGGCUUGGAGCUGAUCUUCUACUUGAAGCAUUAUUCGCGGCUGCGGAGCCUCACCAAAUCAACAAGCCCCUCCAUUUCUUCAUCAAGGAAGAUGUUUCCAUGCGCCAACGUCUCCAGGACCUCCGCUCCAUAGGAAGGCAGCUGGAGGAGUCCGGAGUUUUGAAUGAAUCACUUCGUUCAAGAAGUAAUUCUUGGGGAUUGCAUAUGCCCUUGGUGUGUCCUGAUGGGGCGGUUGUUGCUUAUGCUUGGAAGAGACAACUUGCUGGCCAGGCAGGUGCGUCUGCUGUUGACAGGACCAGAUUAGCUCUCAAGGCCUUUACAGAUCAAAAACGGCGAUUUUUCCCUCAUCUUGAUGAUGAACAAAAUAAGGACGAUGCAGAAUCAAUGUCAAAGAAACUUCAUGUUUCCCAAGUAGAGCCAGCCAAUCAACAAGAAGAGCUUGGUGACUGCAAAACACUUUCAGACAUUCUGACACGUGUGGAGAAAGAAGUGCCAAAUUUGAAAAUUUUUACUUACGAACGGUUGGACUGGUUGAAAAGGGCUUCUUCAUUGCCGACUUCAGCAAAUGACAAUUCUUUAGAAGCAUCAGAUGAACAUACUUUUGACAGUUUAAAUAGACUCAGAUUUGAAUCACAGGGCACUGCUGGAACAGAUAAAGUUGCUGUAAUCGAAUUGUUCUUUCCUUCCAUUUUAAGAGCUAUAGUUUCCUUGCACCCGGCUGGUUCUACUAACCCAGACGCUGUAGCUUUCUUUUCACCGGAUGAGGGAGGCAGCUAUAUACAUGCUAGAGGCUCUUCAGUUUAUCAUGUAUUUAGGCCUGUCACGGAGCACGCCGCACUGGCCCAGCAAUAUUUUUUGGGGAGCGGGACUGAAACUGCUUUAUAUUAUCUUCUGCGCUGGAUCUGCAGCUAUGAAAGUCUAUUUGCAAAAGCGUGCAGUAAGUGUGGGCGGUUACUAGCAAUGGACAGAAAAUCUUCGCUACUCUUACCUCCUGUUCGUCGUUGUUACCAGAACUUUUGCAACUCGAAAGUUUUAUCUGCUCCACUUAUUUCAUCAACAGGGGACCGGAAUUCGGAUGAACUUGGGGCUUAUCAUAUUAGUUGUUAUACGGAGCAUGCAUAGUUGCAUCUUUAAAUGUUGCUGGGUGUAGAAUACUGAAAUGUAGUUGACGUGAGGGAAUGACAAGGUUUAAGACCCAUAAAUGGUCAUAAAACCUUCAACAGACAUUAACUCUCUUGUUAGGUAGCAUAUAUAGAACCGCGUAUCGGUCAAAAAGAUCGAAACACCUUACUUGAACAUCUUGUUACUAGAUUGGUAUUUGAUCCAAUUACCUGUUAAGUCUGUUACCAGGCCAAAAUCCGCGGUCGGAGCGAUCGAGGAGAAUAUGAUUGUUUUUGGGCUUGCUUUAA